RNAcentral lists this ribosomal RNA (253 nucleotides) under uncultured bacterium. RNAcentral describes it as "partial 16S ribosomal RNA". It matches the Rfam family "Bacterial small subunit ribosomal RNA", at positions 524 to 776 of the family's 1533-position model. The record is from RNAcentral.
UACGUAGGGGGCUAGCGUUGUCCGGAUUUAUUGGGCGUAAAGGGCGCGUAGGCGGCCAUGCGUGUCUUCCGUGAAAUCCCUCGGCUUAACUGAGGACGUGCGGAAGAAACUGCAAGGCUUGAGUCCGGGAGAGGGGGGUGGAAUUCCCAGUGUAGCGGUGAAAUGCGUAGAUAUUGGGAGGAACACCGGUGGCGAAGGCGGCCCCCUGGACCGGUACUGACGCUGAGGCGCGAAAGCGUGGGUAGCAAACGGG